GUGCGCGCCUCUCACCGGUCAAGUUUAAAAAUGCGUCUGUUUGAGUGGGUAUGCUGCUGCUGGGCCAUUCGUUCGGUGCACUGGACUUACACAACACAAUUCAUGCUAAGUGAAUCAGAUUUAAUGCUGUAAAUUCAUUAGAGACACAUAUGAACACCGUUUUCUAACAGCUGUUGUCAUCAUGUUAUUGACCAAUUCAAUGUGAUUGUCUAUCUCUAUAUAGCUUGUAACUAGCUAACUGGCCAGGCUAGCCUAGCUUGAGUGGAAAAAACGUGGCUAGCAGAUGACAAGUAAAUGUCAUACUUUUCUUAAGUCGGUCACUCUGCCAGUAAUAACUUUGUGUUUUAUGUCAGCUUAAAUAAAAAAAAAACUAAUAAUUUAACCUUAAACUGUCUGUAGAAAAAUAGGUUGCUGCUGUAGCUACUAGCUGGCCAAUUCACUCUUUUAUCUUAGUUAGGCUAUCUAGCAAACAGAAAUAUCAAGUGAGUUUUCAAGGGAGUUAACUAGCUGGAUUGCUUAAUAUUUUGUUGUACUACAUGCAUGUUCUAAUUACAUAUAUUAUCAUUUUGAAAUAUAGCUGUAGUUUUGAUUUACCCUACUCCAUGGAUAUUAUACGAUUGGAUGUUGGUUAUGGAUGUGUAAGCAUCUUCAAGUUUAUGGAAAGCGUCGCAGUUUACUUGCUAACGUUUUUAUGGAAGACAACUAGCCAUUAUGAAACGAUAGGGAUAUAUUCACAGCUUCUUCACAUAAAGAUGCCAAAAUAUGGUGGUUAAUAGUGAGUGGGUAUCAUAGUAACAUUUUCUUCCUGCAGGACCUGUAAUAUUCUGACACUCAGUGACGGAGAGGCUGUUAAAUUCACGCUGGUUGCUUUAUUAUGCCUCAACAACAAAACCCCACACAGAGCAGAGACAUGCUAAUCAAGGCAAGGUGAUGAUUGUCAGAGGGGAAAUUUCCUGCCACAAGAUCUUCAAAUGCAAUGUGUAUCUCCGUGGUGUAGGGGUUGAAGACACGGUCUCAUAUGUGGGAACCCAUCUGGGUUCAAAUCCAGGGAGGGCAUCAACAAUCACAAUUUUAAUUGCGGGCCGGCUGAAUUUGGUUUGCCUGCUUUCUUUCCCCUUGAUAUGAUACAUCUGUGAUAACUGUCCAUUGUUGUGAAUCCACGUCUUCCUUCUUUUGGUAAUUUUUUUGGCGGGAAUGCUAACAUGCAUUAAGUUUGUUUAAAGAAAUGGCAAAAAAUGAAAUCCUACUUUUUAAGGACUUUUCAGUGAAUCUUAGUGUGUCCAUAUUUUAUGUUUUUCCCCCCUAACUACACCAGGGAUGGAUCCAGCUGAUUACUGGCAAUUUGGAGGAGGAUUGAUCUUUAUCUGCUACGUUGCACAGUCACUUCUGGUACAGAUUCAUUGACCUUUUGUGCUAUGUUUUGAUUUAACUUUAUUUGUAAUUAAGUUUCCAAUUGCACUUUAAUUGACACAGUGAAACUCUUGUAGAUGUAUCCAUUUCUUUUGCAUUUCUUCAGUAUGUUUUCAGUUGAGGAUAUUUCACAGUAAUCUUAAAGCUUAUAUUUAUG
Esox lucius (northern pike) is the source of this 1567-nucleotide long non-coding RNA. Lineage: Eukaryota; Metazoa; Chordata; Actinopteri; Esociformes; Esocidae. The record is from Ensembl.